ACGGGUAGCCGGCCUGAGAGGGCGACCGGCCACACUGGGACUGAGACACGGCCCAGACUCCUACGGGAGGCAGCAGUGGGGAAUAUUGCACAAUGGGCGAAAGCCUGAUGCAGCGACGCCGCGUGAGGGAUGACGGCCUUCGGGUUGUAAACCUCUUUCAGUAGGGAAGAAGCGAGAGUGACGGUACCUGCAGAAGAAGCGCCGGCUAACUACGUGCCAGCAGCCGCGGUAAUACGUAGGGCGCAAGCGUUGUCCGGAAUUAUUGGGCGUAAAGAGCUUGUAGGCGGUUUGUCACGUCUGGUGUGAAAUCCCAUCGCUCAACGGUGGGCUUGCAUCGGGUACGGGCAGGCUAGAGUGUGGUAGGGGAAACUGGAAUUCCUGGUGUAGCGGUGAAAUGCGCAGAUAUCAGGAGGAACACCGAUGGCGAAGGCAGGUUUCUGGGCCAUUACUGACGCUGAGAAGCGAAAGCAUGGGGAGCGA
Molecule: ribosomal RNA, 480 nt
Filed under: Sanguibacter sp.
Lineage: Bacteria; Bacillati; Actinomycetota; Actinomycetes; Micrococcales; Sanguibacteraceae
Description: bacterial SSU rRNA
Rfam family: Bacterial small subunit ribosomal RNA
Source: RNAcentral